UACGUAGGGCGCAAGCGUUGUCCGGAAUUAUUGGGCGUAAAGAGCUCGUAGGCGGUCUGUCGCGUCCGUUGUGAAACUCGAGGCUCAACCUCGGGCUUGCAGUGGAUACGGGCAGACUAGAGUGCGGUAGGGAGACUGGAAUUCCUGGUGUAGCGGUGGAAUGCGCAGACUAUCGGAGGAACACCGGUGGCGAAGGCGGCCGAUCUGGUCGAGUACUGACGCUGAGGUGCGAAAGCGUGGGAGCAACAGG
Molecule: ribosomal RNA, 250 nt
Filed under: uncultured bacterium
Lineage: Bacteria
Description: partial 16S ribosomal RNA
Rfam family: Bacterial small subunit ribosomal RNA
Source: RNAcentral